UUUAUGAAGUAUAAUGAUGAAUUGUAUUGAUCUGACCACAACCGUGAAGUCUGAAUUCAAUCCAACACUGAGCUUCAAAAU
Clarias gariepinus (North African catfish) is the source of this 81-nucleotide small nucleolar RNA. RefSeq annotates it as small nucleolar RNA SNORD69. The record is from RefSeq and is a predicted model, not a curated record. Lineage: Eukaryota; Metazoa; Chordata; Actinopteri; Siluriformes; Clariidae. The transcript has a single exon.